AAACGAUGGGUGCUAGUUGUCAGGCAGCAUGCUGUUUGGUGACGCAGCUAACGCGUUAAGCACCCCGCCUGGGGACUACGGUCGCAAGACUAAAACUCAAAGGAAUUGACGGGGGCCCGCACAAGCGGUGGAGCAUGUGGUUUAAUUCGAGGCAACGCGAAGAACCUUACCGGCCCUUGACAUACCAAUCGCGGAUAGCAGAGAUGCUUUCCUUCAGUUCGGCUGGAUUGGAUACAGGUGCUGCAUGGUUGUCGUCAGCUCGUGUCGUGAGAUGUUGGGUUAAGUCCCGCAACGAGCGCAACCCUCGCUUUUAGUUGCCAGCAUUAAGUUGGGCACUCUAGAGGGACUGCCGGUGAUAAGCCGGAGGAAGGUGGGGAUGACGUCAAAUCAUCAUGGCCCUUACGGGCCGGGCUACACACGUGCUACAAUGGCGGUGACAGUGAGCAGCCACUCAGCGAUGAGGAGCUAAUCUCUAAAAGCCGUCUCAGUUCGGAUUGUUCUCUGCAACUCGAGAGCAUGAAGUUGGAAUCGCUAGUAAUCGUGGAUCAGCAUGCCACGGUGAAUACGUUCCCGGGCCUUGUACACACCGCCCGUCACACCAUGGGAGUUGGUUUUACCCGAAGACUGUGUGCUAACUUAGGAGGCAGCAGGCCACGGUAAGGUCAGCGACUGGGGUGAAGUCGUAACAAGGUAGCCGUA
This 699-nucleotide ribosomal RNA is filed under the name uncultured bacterium. RNAcentral's name for it is "bacterial SSU rRNA". It matches the Rfam family "Bacterial small subunit ribosomal RNA", at positions 804 to 1504 of the family's 1533-position model. The record is from RNAcentral.